UCGGGAAUUUUGCCCAAUGAGCGAAAGCUUGAGGCAGCAACUCCGCGUGAGGGACGACGGCCUUAGGGUUGUAAACCUCUUUUCUCAGGGAAGAUUCAAGACGGUACCUGAGGAAUAAGCGACGGCUAACUACGUGCCAGCAGCCGCGGUAAUACGUAGGUCGCAAGCGUUGUCCGGAUUUACUGGGCGUAAAGAGCGCGCAGGCGGCUGAUCAAGUCCGACGUGAAAGCUCCCGGCUUAACUGGGAAAUUGCAUCGGAAACUGGUCGGCUUGAAGGUGGGAGAGGGUAGUGGAAUUCCCGGUGUAGUGGUGAAAUGCGUAGAUAUCGGGAGGAACACCAGUGGCGAAGGCGACUACCUGGCCCACUCUUGACGCUGAGGCGCGAAAGCUAGGGGAGCGAACGG
Molecule: ribosomal RNA, 404 nt
Filed under: uncultured bacterium
Lineage: Bacteria
Description: bacterial SSU rRNA
Rfam family: Bacterial small subunit ribosomal RNA
Source: RNAcentral